RNAcentral lists this ribosomal RNA (254 nucleotides) under uncultured bacterium. RNAcentral describes it as "partial 16S ribosomal RNA". It matches the Rfam family "Bacterial small subunit ribosomal RNA", at positions 524 to 776 of the family's 1533-position model. The record is from RNAcentral.
CACGUAGGGUGCGAGCGUUGUCCGGAAUUAUUGGGCGUAAAGAGCUCGUAGGCGGCGUGUCGCGUCGGCCGUGAAAACCUGCAGCUUAACUGUGGGCUUGCGGUCGAUACGGGCAUCACUGGAGUUCGGCAGGGGAGACUGGAAUUCCUGGUGUAGCGGUGAAAUGCGCAGAUAUCAGGAGGAACACCGGUAGCGAAGGCGGGUCUCUGGGCCGAUACUGACGCUGAGGAGCGAAAGCGUGGGGAGCGAACAGG